This 483-nucleotide ribosomal RNA is filed under the name uncultured bacterium. RNAcentral describes it as "partial 16S ribosomal RNA". It matches the Rfam family "Bacterial small subunit ribosomal RNA", at positions 28 to 507 of the family's 1533-position model. The record is from RNAcentral.
GACGAACGCUGGCGGCGUGCUUAACACAUGCAAGUCGAACGCUGAGGCUCAGCUUUUGUUGGGUGGAUGAGUGGCGAACGGGUGAGUAACACGUGAGUAACCUGCCCCCUUCUUUGGGAUAACGCCCGGAAACGGGUGCUAAUACUGGAUAUUCACUGGUCUUCGCAUGGGGGUUGGUGGAAAGGGUUUUUCUGGUGGGAGAUGGGCUCGCGGCCUAUCAGCUUGUUGGUGGGGUGAUGGCCUACCAAGGCUUUGACGGGUAGCCGGCCUGAGAGGGUGACCGGUCACAUUGGGACUGAGAUACGGCCCAGACUCCUACGGGAGGCAGCAGUGGGGAAUAUUGCACAAUGGGCGCAAGCCUGAUGCAGCGACGCCGCGUGAGGGAUGGAGGCCUUCGGGUUGUGAACCUCUUUCGCUCAUGGUCAAGCCGCAACAAUGGUUGUGGUGAGGGUAGUGGGUAAAGAAGCGCCGGCUAACUACGUG